GAUGAACGCUGGCGGCGUGCUUAACACAUGCAAGUCGAGCGAGAAGUUUUGAAGAGAUUCUUCGGAUGAAAUUUAAAAUGGAAAGCGGCGGACGGGUGAGUAACGCGUAGGCAACCUGCCCCAUACAAAGGGAUAGCAUUUGGAAACGAAUAUUAAUACCUUAUGAAACUUAACUAGUGCAUGCUAGGUAGGUCAAAGAUUUAUCGGUAUGGGAUGGGCCUGCGUCUGAUUAGCUAGUUGGUGAGGUAACGGCUCACCAAGGCGACGAUCAGUAGCCGACAUGAGAGGGUGACCGGCCACAUUGGAACUGAGACACGGUCCAAACUCCUACGGGAGGCAGCAGUGGGGAAUAUUGCACAAUGGGGGAAAACCUGAUGCAGCAACGCCGCGUGAACGAUGAAGGACUUUGGGUCGUAAAGUUCUGUUCUAGGUGAUGAAAACUGACAGUAACCUAGGAGAAAGCCACGGCUAACUCCGUG
RNAcentral lists this ribosomal RNA (479 nucleotides) under uncultured bacterium. Its description in RNAcentral is "partial 16S ribosomal RNA". It matches the Rfam family "Bacterial small subunit ribosomal RNA", at positions 28 to 507 of the family's 1533-position model. The record is from RNAcentral.